This 864-nucleotide ribosomal RNA is filed under the name uncultured bacterium. RNAcentral's name for it is "bacterial SSU rRNA". It matches the Rfam family "Bacterial small subunit ribosomal RNA", at positions 1 to 916 of the family's 1533-position model. The record is from RNAcentral.
UAGAGUUUGAUCCUGGCUCAGGAUGAACGCUGGCGGUAUGCUUAACACAUGCAAGUCGAACGGGCUCUUCGGAGCUAGUGGCGGACGGGUGAGUAACGCGUGAGAAUCUGCCUACAGGAUGGGGACAACAGCUGGAAACGGCUGCUAACACCCGAUGUGCCGAAAGGUGAAAUAUUUAUAGCCUGUAGAUGAGCUCGCGUCAGAUUAGCUAGUUGGAGAGGUAAAGGCUCCCCAAGGCGACGAUCUGUAUUUGGUCUGAGAGGAUGACCAGACACACUGGGACUGAGACACGGCCCAGACUCCUACGGGAGGCAGCAGUGGGGAAUUUUCCGCAAUGGGCGCAAGCCUGACGGAGCAAUACCGCGUGAGGGAGGAAGCUUUUUGGAGUGUAAACCUCUUUUAUCAGGGAAGAAUAAAUGACGGUACCUGAUGAAUCAGCAUCGGCUAACUCCGUGCCAGCAGCCGCGGUAAUACGGGGGAUGCAAGCGUUAUCCGGAAUUAUUGGGCGUAAAGCGUUCGUAGGUGGUUGCGUAAGUCUUUUGUUAAAGCGUGUGGCUUAACCACAUACCGGCAGGAGAAACUACGCGACUUGAGUAUGGUAGGGGUAACAGGAAUUCCUAGUGUAGCGGUGAAAUGCGUAGAUAUUAGGAAGAACACCAGCGGCGAAAGCGUGUUACUGGGCCAAGACUGACACUGAGGGACGAAAGCUAGGGGAGCGAAAGGGAUUAGAUACCCCUGUAGUCCUAGCCGUAAACGAUGACAACUAGGUGUUGCCCGUAUCGACCCGGGCAGUGCCGUAGCCAACGCGUUAAGUUGUCCGCCUGGGGAGUACGCACGCAAGUGUGAAACUCAAAGGAUUGACGG